CUUGGCUCAAAGUUGCCUUUUCUUUUGUUUCUGCUAUGCUGGAGUGGAAGAGAGAAAACUGGCCAAGUCAUGACACGGCGUCAGAAAGAGACAAAGAAGCGGGUGUAGGAUCACCUCCGGAUCCCGCGGCCACAGUGGAGGCGCGCAUCGCCUGGCGUGUCAUCUGGGGCCCACCGGGUCGCACGGCUAACCUACCAACACUGCUAACCUGCCGACAGGGAAGCUCGGUCGCGACUCCUGCAUUAGGUGGAGGAACUGCCCGUCUCUCAGAAGAGGAAAAGAAGCCCUUCCAGAGCUAAAAAAUGGACAUAUGCUCAAACAGAAGGAGAAAAC
RNAcentral lists this long non-coding RNA (333 nucleotides) under Capra hircus (goat). RNAcentral's name for it is "lncRNA (ENSCHIG00000000854.1)". Lineage: Eukaryota; Metazoa; Chordata; Mammalia; Artiodactyla; Bovidae. The record is from RNAcentral.